This 243-nucleotide ribosomal RNA is filed under the name uncultured bacterium. RNAcentral describes it as "partial 16S ribosomal RNA". It matches the Rfam family "Bacterial small subunit ribosomal RNA", at positions 118 to 346 of the family's 1533-position model. The record is from RNAcentral.
UGGGUAACCUGCCUCAAAGAGGGGAAUAGCCUCCCGAAAGGGGAGAUUAAUACCGCAUAAUAUGUUUAAGUCGCAUGACUUUAACAUCAAAGGAUUUUCUUUUAGAAAUUCCACUUUGAGAUGGACCCGCGGCGCAUUAGCUAGUUGGUGAGGUAACGGCUCACCAAGGCAACGAUGCGUAGCCGACCUGAGAGGGUGAUCGGCCACAUUGGAACUGAGACACGGUCCAGCUCCGUAGGACGG